UACAGAGGUCUCAAGCGUUGUUCGGAUUCAUUGGGCGUAAAGGGUGUGUAGGUGGCGCGCUAAGUCGGGUGUGAAAUUUCGGAGCUUAACUCCGAAACUGCAUUCGAUACUGGCGUGCUUGAGGACUGGAGAGGAGACUGGAAUUUACGGUGUAGCAGUGAAAUGCGUAGAUAUCGUAAGGAAGACCAGUGGCGAAGGCGGGUCUCUGGGCAGUUCCUGACACUGAGACACGAAGGCCAGGGGAGCAAACGGG
Molecule: ribosomal RNA, 253 nt
Filed under: uncultured bacterium
Lineage: Bacteria
Description: partial 16S ribosomal RNA
Rfam family: Bacterial small subunit ribosomal RNA
Source: RNAcentral